This 314-nucleotide unclassified non-coding RNA is filed under the name plant metagenome. RNAcentral describes it as "partial contains 5.8S ribosomal RNA, internal transcribed spacer 2, and large subunit ribosomal RNA". The stretch from base 1 to 105 matches the Rfam family "5.8S ribosomal RNA", at positions 50 to 154 of the family's 154-position model. The record is from RNAcentral.
GAAAUGCGAUAAUUAAUGUGAAUUGCAGAAUUCAGUGAAUCAUCGAGUCUUUGAACGCUCAUUGCGCCCCCUGGUAUUCCGGGGGGCAUGCCUGUCCGAGCGUCAUUGCUGCCCUCAAGCACGGCUUGUGUGUUGGGCUUCCGUCCCUGGCAACGGGGACGGGCCCAAAAGGCAGUGGCGGCACCAUGUCUGGUCCUCGAGCGUAUGGGGCUUUGUCACCCGCUCCCGUAGGUCCAGCUGGCAGCUAGCCUCGCAACCAAUCUUUUUAACCAGGUUGACCUCGGAUCAGGUAGGGAUACCCGCUGAACUUAAGC